AUGCAUUCUUCUUAACACUUCUAUUAGGCAGGUCAUAUUACCAUCUGUUUCCCAGUUGAGGAAACUGUGGCUUAGGGAGGUUAAGUACUUUGCCCAAGUUCACAGAGCUGGGACUCACAUGAUUCCAAGUCUUUUCCUAACUAUUAAGAUAUAAUGCUUCAAAAUGCCUAAAAAGUAAGAGGAAAUGCAUGACAGUAUCCAAUCGUCACCUCUUUACAAGCUUUCUAAUCAUGACAUUUUAUUUGAUACAACCAAAUUUGCUCCUUCAAAUUGCUGUUUGUUUUCCCAUUCUAGCAAAAAUUAAUUUUAAAUAUGUCUAGAUUAUCUCCCACCUCAUCUAGCUGCCCAGCCUCACCUCCUUUAUGGUAUACAAUAUCAUUGUAUCCCUCCCUUAUAUCACCUUUAAAUCUUUCACUCAAACCCCAACUCUCCCCAAAAUCCCUUUCUUUUCCAAAACCAGGGAUGGGGAGUUGUCAGGAUAAAAACUGGAACCCUAUUUCUCUUUUCCUUUUCUUGCCAAAUUUUGGGGGCUGCUUUUUAUUCUUUAUACUGUGACUCCAUUUCCUCCCCACUCACAAACACCUAAUCCCCUACAGUCGGGCUUCCACAACAUUCCUGAAACUCCGAGGUCAUCAGUGCCCUGCUCAUGAAAUCCAAAAGGCAUUUUCUCAGUCAUCAAUUUUUACUCUUCUGCAACAUAUGUCACUGUUGAUUAGCUUUAUAUUCCACUAAGUUAUUUUUCCUUGGCUUCCAAGACAUUACCAGAUUCUGCCCCGCCUGACCGUUUUCCACCACUCUUCCACAACCUUUGUAACCUCCUCCUGCUGCUCCCUUACUGUGGGUCUCAUCUCUCCCUGUGCCACACACACAGGGUCCCCUCAAAUAUUUGUGGAAUAAAUGAACAAGCUCACAUCCUUCUGGUCUUCCUCUCUCCACCAGAUACUCCUCCAAUAUUAUGGAUUCCACUACCAUCUCUAUGCAGAUGAUUAACAAAAAUGUGUAUCCACAAAGUCUACAGCUGCCCUUGGUUUCUCCUGCCCUGAUCUCCAAGCCAAACCUCAGAUCCCCACCUCCAACUUCUACUGACCACUUUCUGUUGGCUUUUCCACCAUCUUUUUAAACUGAACUUAUCCAAAAUCAAUCUCAUCAAUCUUUUCUGUAGUCUCUCUUUCCCAGAUUGGGAAUUGUGGGUUUUUGUUUUUUGUUUUUUGUUUUUCGGAGUCUCGCUCUGUCACCCAGGCUGGAGUGCAGUGGCGCGAACUCAGCUCACUGCAAGCUCUGCCUCCCGGGUUCAUGCCAUUCUCCUGCCUCAGCCUCCAGACUAGCUGGGACUACAGGCGCCCGCCAGCAUGCCUGGCUAACUUUUUUUGUAUUUUUUAGUAGAGACGGGGUUUCACCGUGUUAGCCAGGAUGGUCUUGAUCUCCUGAACUCAUGAUCUGCCUGCCUCAGCCUCCCAAAGUGCUGGGAUUACAGGUGUGAGCCACCGCGCCCAGCGGGGAAUUGUGUUUUUAAAAAUCACCAUUAUUUCCCCUACAAUCUAGGAUCAUAAACAUUUCUUCUUGCUUUUGACCCCAAGAGGUUUGAGGUUGCAAGGCAGGUCUAUAGAGGUUGGUGCAUUUAUUUGAAUCCGUCUGCUCUGGGAUUCAGGUGGGAGCCCCUGAGUGAACAGUGAUGCCUCUUUGUGAAGCGAGUGACCCAAGACUUAGCCUCUGUCCAGACAUGAAUCACUGGACAUGGUGUACUCCUGCAUUUUCUCUUCCCACGUAAUUCUUGAAUAAACAACUUGUAUUUUGAUAAUCCUCUAAAUUCUAUUUACAACCAUAAGGCCUUCACGAUAAGAACAAGAUUCAGAGGGAUUAAAAAAAUACUAAACAAAAUCCCAGACAAGGCCUCCAUUCUUCUCAACACCCACCUUGACCCCUAGUAAUUCUAAGUGUUCCCUAUUCUAUCUCCCUGGCCAAAAAGAGACCACAAAAAGAAAAGUCCCUAAAGGAUUUCAUUUGAGCUCCUAUUUUGUUCUCUUAGUCGUUGAGUUCAUCUUGCCUCACACAUCAUGAAGAAUAUGAAUCCACAAAAUGAAGGACACUGUGUCCUUAUUUCUGCAGGGCAAUUAUUCUCUCCAUCAAUACCUCAUUCUGCUGACUAAGUAGUUCACCUUCACUUUGUAACAAGCCCAGGCCACCGGACUUAACCACUUCUUCCUUAAAAGGGCCAGGUACCUCCCCCAUACACCCACAGGUUUUUAAGCACCCCUAAAAUAAGUUGUCUCAUGAUGUCUUCCCAGCCCUGAUGUCUAAUCAGCCCUUCUCUUUCCUGUGACUCUCCUACUCAGUUGAGGUUCUAUUGCCCUAAUUUUCAGACUUCUUCAAAGGCUUUGUCAGAGUCUCCCCACCGCCAGCCUCUACCUACUCCCAAACCAUCCUGCACAAGAUCAUCAGAUUAAUACUUUGCUUUCUGGCUCCAAAACUCUAACGGCUUCUUAUUGUCUACAGCACAAGUUGAAAAUACUCGCCUGAAUAUUUAGGACACUUCAGAAGAUACCCCAAAGGACAUUUCCUCUUCUCUAUCUGGUCUGCCUAUUUUUUAAAUGC
This 2592-nucleotide long non-coding RNA is filed under the name Homo sapiens (human). RNAcentral's name for it is "HSALNT0146233". The record is from RNAcentral. Lineage: Eukaryota; Metazoa; Chordata; Mammalia; Primates; Hominidae.